AUGGCGCCCUCCUCCUCCACCUCCACCACGGCUGCCGCGGCGGCGGACGAGAGGGACCGCAAGCGCAAGCGCGGGGCCGGCGGCGAGGCGGGGACGGAGGCGGAGGCGGAGAGGGCGCCCAAGUGGCGGUCGCGGCGGGAGCACGAGAUCUACUCCACCAGGCUGCUCGACGCGCUGCGCCUCGUGCGCGCCGGGGGCGGCGUAGCCCCGUCGCCGGCGCGCCAGGUGCGCGACGCGGCCGACCGCGCGCUCGCCGUCGCCGCCCGCGGCCGCUCCCGCUGGAGCCGCGCCAUCCUCGCCUCCCGCCGCGCACACCGCGUCCACCGCGUGCGCCUCCACGCCCCGGCACCGUCCCCUGCACCUGCCCUGCCACAUCGCGCUUCGCCGGCGCUGGCGAGGAAGGCGAAGGCGCUGGGGCGGCUGGUGCCGGGGUGCAGGAAGCUGCCGUUCCCAGCGCUCCUCUCCGAGGCGUCCGACUACAUCGCCGCGCUGGAGAUGCAGGUGCGCGCCAUGGCCGCGCUCGCGCAGGCCCUCUCCGCCGUCUCCCCGCCGCCGUGA
Molecule: ribosomal RNA, 558 nt
Filed under: Triticum aestivum (bread wheat)
Lineage: Eukaryota; Viridiplantae; Streptophyta; Magnoliopsida; Poales; Poaceae
Description: partial small subunit ribosomal RNA
Source: RNAcentral